RNAcentral lists this unclassified non-coding RNA (2390 nucleotides) under Eurytemora carolleeae. RNAcentral's name for it is "uncharacterized LOC111701062". The record is from RNAcentral. Lineage: Eukaryota; Metazoa; Arthropoda; Copepoda; Calanoida; Temoridae.
GGCUUUCACUCUGUACAAAGAUUUUAGAAUUUUAAAGAUAUUAUUUGAAUUUAAAGAGGAAACCCUUCUCUUCCUUGGGGCUUCUGUAUUGUCGGAGGAAAAGACCAGGGUUUAACUGUGAAGAUUGGGAAUGUGAAGAGAAAUACCCCUGCGUCUAGAGCAGGGCUUCAUAAAAUGGAUUAUCUAAUCUCGAUAAAUGGAAAAGCUGUGUUUAACCUGACACAUGGAGAAUGUGUGAGAGAUAUUAAAUCUUCAGCUCAACACCUGGUUCUGGAGUGUGAAAGAGGAGAUCAUAUAGUUCCUAGUUUUGAGGAAAUGUUUCCUGGAUUAAGAUCCGGAGAUAAUGAUCCUGAAACCACGAGUAGGAAGAAGCAUAUCGGAGACGACUACUACAAUGAUGCUAUGCAGAACCAUGGACUAGGACAUCUUCCACAACCAAACAAUUUUACAACAGUUGGAAAUAAUCUUGGUAUAGAGAUUAAUCAGUACAAUUGUCCUAUAGAGGCGUACAGCGAGCAGUCAAUAGAGGAGAUGAAAGGAAUGAAAGAAAAGGGAGGUUUAGAGAUUGCAGGUCGUUUACCUGUAGUAGCCCAGGAUAGGUUCAAGUUUGAUCCAAACCGUAGCAAUGCCAUCAAGGUUAUAAAUCAGAUGGAAGGAGGGGAUGGUCGAUCUGCUUAAUCUCAUAACUAUCAGUUCUUUUUACUACAUCCAUAUUCGUGGUACCAUUAUAGGAAACUAACCUUUUCCUAACUUUAGACCUCUCCGUUUCCAUAGGAUUCUAUUCCAUGUACUGCAGUCAGGUCUACGGUUCCAUAGGAUCCUAUUCCAUGUACUGCAGUCAGGGAUGGGCAAAUAGCUAGAUUCGUUUUACAGAAACUUUUAAGAUUUUUAGACUUUUAAAAGGUUUUACGGCAAUCUGAGAAGGUUCCAACAUUUUAAAAUUGUAUUGUAUAGAAGUCUGCUUUUUUCAAACAUGUAAUUUUCAAGGCAAAAACAAACUAAAAACGAUAGUUUUUGCCCUAUAUUUUCUUUGAUAAAAGCAAACUUCUACAGAAUAUAAUUUUAAAAUUUUGGAAUCUAGCUAUUGCCCAUCCCCAACUGCAGUUAGGUCUAAAAUUCCAUAGGAUCCUGUUCAUGUACUACAGUCAGGUCUACGGUUCCAUAGGAUCAUAUUCCAUGUAAUGCAGUCAGGUCUACGGUUCCAUAGGAUCCUAUUCCAUGUAAUGUAAUGCAGUCAGGUCUACGGUUCCAUAGGAUCCUAUUCAUGUACUGCAGUUAGGUCUAAGGUUCCACAGGAUCCUAUUCAUGUACUGCAGUCAGGUCUACGGUUCCAUAGGAUCCUAUUCAUGUACUGCAGUUAGGUCUAAGGUUCCAUAAGAUACUAUUCCAUGUACUUCAGUUAGGUCUACGGUUCCAUAGGAUCCUAUUCAUGUACUGCAGUUAGGUCUAAGGUUCCAUAGGAUCCUAUUCCAUGUAAUGCAGUAAGGUUCCAUAGGAUCCUUUUCAUGUACUUCAGUUAAGUCUAAGGUUCCACAGAAUCCUAUUCCAUGUAAUGUAGUUAGGUUUAAUAUUCCAUAGGAUCCAAUUCCAUGUACUGCAGUUAGGUCCAGGGUUCUAUAGAAUCCUAUUUCAUGUACUGAUUUAGUUAGGUCUACGGUUCCAUUGGAUCUUAUUCCAUGUACUACAGUUAGGUCUAAGGUUCCAUAGGAUCCUAGUCCAUGCACUGCAAUUAGGUCUAAGGCCAGUUCUAUUGGAUCCACUUACAUGUACUGAAGCUAGGUUCUAUAGGAUCCUAUUAAUUUAAUGCAGUUAGAUCUAAGGUUCCAUAGAAUCCUAUUCCAUAGGAUCCAUAGAAUCCUAUUCCAUAGGAUACUAUUAAAUGUACUGCAGUCAGGUCCAAGGUUCUAUAGGUUCUUAUUCCAUGUACUAUAGUUGGGUUCUAUCUUCAAGUUUUAUUGGAUACUAUUCUAUGAACUGCGGUUGGUUCUAUUGGAUACAAUUCCAUGUACUGUAGUUGGGGUCUAUCUUCUAGUUUUAUUGGAUACUGUUCUAUGAAGUGCUGUUGGGUUUUAUUGGAUACUAUUCCAUGUACUGUAGUUGGAGUUUAUCUUCUAGUUUUAUUGGAUACCAUUCUAUGAACUGCAGUUGGGUUCUAUCGGAUACUAUUCCAUGUACUGUAGUUGGAUAUAUGGUUCUCCUAAAGAAUAUGUGUACCUGUAUUUACUAACAUUCCAUUUAUUUUAACAAAAUCCUUUUACUUCUAUUACCCUGGAAAUAAAUAAAGCGCAUAGAGAUUAUCCCACAUAGAGUUCAUGAUAUAUCAUAAAUAAAUGUUUUUCUUGUGGAUGAAAAAAAAAUACAAGUUUUCCAAUAAAGAUUUAAUAAAUUCA